UCCUGUUUAGCUAAGUUGGUAGAGCGCUCCACUAAAAACGGAGAGGUCCCUGGUUCAAUAACAGGACCAGGCG
This 73-nucleotide transfer RNA is filed under the name Ixodes scapularis (black-legged tick). It matches the Rfam family "tRNA". Rfam says of the family: Transfer RNA (tRNA) molecules are approximately 80 nucleotides in length. Lineage: Eukaryota; Metazoa; Arthropoda; Arachnida; Ixodida; Ixodidae. The record is from Rfam by way of RNAcentral.